Molecule: ribosomal RNA, 302 nt
Filed under: uncultured bacterium
Lineage: Bacteria
Description: partial 16S ribosomal RNA
Rfam family: Bacterial small subunit ribosomal RNA
Source: RNAcentral
GCAGUAGCCGCGGGAAUACGUAGGUCCCGAGCGUUGUCCGGAUUUAUUGGGCGUAAAGCGAGCGCAGGCGGUUAGAUAAGUCUGAAGUUAAAGGCUGUGGCUUAACCAUAGUACGCUUUGGAAACUGUUUAACUUGAGUGCAAGAGGGGAGAGUGGAAUUCCAUGUGUAGCGGUGAAAUGCGUAGAUAUAUGGAGGAACACCGGUGGCGAAAGCGGCUCUCUGGCUUGUAACUGACGCUGAGGCUCGAAAGCGUGGGGCGCAAACAGGAUUAGAGACCCCCGUAGUCCCUGUCUCUUAUACA